GAGUUUGAUCGUGGCUCAGAGUGAACGCUGGCGGCAGGCCUAACACAUGCAAGUCGAGCGGCAGCGCGGGGGCAACCCUGGCGGCGAGCGGCGGACGGGUGAGGAAUGCAUCGGAAUCUACCUCGUUGUGGGGGAUAACCUCGGGAAACCGGGACUAAUACCGCAUACGACCUACGGGUGAAAGUGGGGGACCGCAAGGCCUCACGCGAUGAGAUGAGCCGAUGCCGGAUUAGCUAGUUGGCGGGGUAAAGGCCCACCAAGGCGACGAUCCGUAGCUGGUCUGAGAGGAUGAUCAGCCACACUGGAACUGAGACACGGUCCAGACUCCUACGGGAGGCAGCAGUGGGGAAUAUUGGACAAUGGGCGCAAGCCUGAUCCAGCCAUGCCGCGUGUGUGAAGAAGGCCUUCGGUUGUUAAGCAC
This 421-nucleotide ribosomal RNA is filed under the name uncultured Gammaproteobacteria bacterium. RNAcentral describes it as "bacterial SSU rRNA". It matches the Rfam family "Bacterial small subunit ribosomal RNA", at positions 9 to 433 of the family's 1533-position model. The record is from RNAcentral. Lineage: Bacteria; Pseudomonadati; Pseudomonadota; Gammaproteobacteria.